GAUGAACGCUGGCGGCGUGCCUAAUACAUGCAAGUCGAACGCAUUGUGGUUGAAAUGAUAUGAAGAACUUGUUCAGACUUGAUUUUCAACAUUGCAAUGAGUGGCGAACGGGUGAGUAACACGUGGGAAACCUACCUCUUAGCGAGGGGAUAACAUUUGGAAAACAAAUGCUAAUACCGUAUAAUAAUUAAAACCGCAUUGGUUUUAAGUUUAAAAGAUGGUCUUGCUAUCACAAAGAGAUGGUCCCGCGGUGUAUUAAGUUAGUUGGUGAGGUAAUGGCUCACCAAGACAAUGAUACAUAGCCGAGUUGAGAGACUGACCGGCCACAAUGGGAGUGAGAC
RNAcentral lists this ribosomal RNA (341 nucleotides) under uncultured bacterium. RNAcentral's name for it is "bacterial SSU rRNA". It matches the Rfam family "Bacterial small subunit ribosomal RNA", at positions 28 to 325 of the family's 1533-position model. The record is from RNAcentral.